AUCUCGGUGGUUCAGUGGUAGAAUGCUCGCCUGCCACGCGGGCGGCCCGGGUUCGAUUCUCGGUCGAUGGA
RNAcentral lists this transfer RNA (71 nucleotides) under Stegodyphus dumicola. Its description in RNAcentral is "tRNA-Gly". It matches the Rfam family "tRNA". Rfam says of the family: Transfer RNA (tRNA) molecules are approximately 80 nucleotides in length. Their secondary structure includes four short double-helical elements and three loops (D, anti-codon, and T loops). The record is from RNAcentral. Lineage: Eukaryota; Metazoa; Arthropoda; Arachnida; Araneae; Eresidae.